This is a long non-coding RNA of Spinacia oleracea (spinach), 1577 nucleotides long. RefSeq lists it as uncharacterized. Lineage: Eukaryota; Viridiplantae; Streptophyta; Magnoliopsida; Caryophyllales; Amaranthaceae. The record is from RefSeq and is a predicted model, not a curated record. The transcript is spliced from 3 exons.
UAAUGUUGGGUUUAGGGAAAAUUAAAUAAAGGAUAUAAGAAAAGGGAAAGGCAAUAAUGAAAUGUGUUGGUUGUUGUCCGUGUUUACAUGGAAGUAUUAGGAAACCCGCAAAGCUUUUCCCUUUUCAUAUUUUCAUUUUUUAAUCGUCUCUUAGAAGGAUGUUCUGUGCAUAAAUUUAGCCUUUCUAUUGACCUCUAGAAGGGUGAAAGAGGCCAUUUCAGAUAUAUGUCAUUUUGUCAAAGAUCUGUUAUCUUUCUCUUGAAGUGUUUACAAGAAAUUCUAGAUCAAUGUCCUCAAUAUCCAUACUUUUGGUUGUUGUUUGUGUUUACAUGGAAGUAUUAGGAAGCUCGUGAAGCUUUUCCCUUUUAUUAUAUCCUUUAUUUAAUUUUCCCUUUGGGGCAGACUGAAAAGAGAAAGAAUAGAAGUGGUGAUGGAGGUGUAGAAUUGGCAAGUUAACUGGUAUUAAGUUAACUGAUAUUUGCAAGUAUAUGAGGGUUCUAAUGGGUGAACUCUAAGCAUGACACGAUUAAUUCUACCCUGUACUUUGCUUCUUUUUCUUUUGUUCUCUAUUUCUUCUGACCAUUUGUGCUCGUGUUGCAGGUGUCAAGACCGUAUAAACAAGCUGGAUUUGAUAUCAUUUUUGGUGAGGGUGUGAGUAAGUUGUUGUUUGCCUUCUGGAUGGAUAGUGUUGCUGUUUUCUGCAGUUUUUACUCUGUUAUCCGAGAAGAUAUUUCUGGACAGGAAUAAAUUUCUGACUACAUGUUGACUAGAGGGGUUUAAUAUGAAUGCAAGGGAAAUGGAGUACCUUUUGAGUUUGUCCAACACUUGUGUUCUGUUGACUUGAAAUGCAGUAGGAGCUUUAUUGAUCUACCAAUCAGCAGAUCCUUAUCCUAGGUAAUUUUGUUUGUUCUCCGUGAAAUUUGAUUGUAUGCAUCUAAAGUGAAAAAUUAGUUUAUUGGUCAUUAUUAAUCAUCAAAAUCCAUCAUGUACGUCCAUGUUUUACUCUAGCUGGUUAUAUUUAUAAUGGUCUUUGUUCCUAGUGAACGAAUGUGGGGUUAAAUGAUGUCUUUUUCGACAUAAUGAAUAUAACGUCUGGUUGAUACAUAUCUUCUAAUUUUUACUCAUGUAUGAACUACGAAGAUGUUAUUAAUGUAAUGCUCGGUAUCUCUCUCUAUUCCCUGUUUUCACUCUGGCUUGUGGAUCAAUGCAUGUGUUUGAUAUAAACUACGGUGUAUCGGAUAAUGAUAACAUAGGCACACUUUGUAAGAAAGUUGGGUUGUGUCGACUUGUAAAUAGUUUAGUUUGUUAUCUCUUAUACAUUGUGUAUGUAUUUAGUUUUCACCAGGUAUGUAAACUGCAGAUUUGUUCACCUAUUCCAUGGUCGUUUUAGCCAUGAAUCUGUAUGUCAAGAUGUUCCAAUUUCAAGUUUGUUGUCUUUCCAAUCAUGUUCUUUUGUCGCUUCAGCAUCCAGUGGCUGCUGGCAUAAUGAAAAAUGGUUGAACACCUAUUUAGAUUCAUUAGUUGAGAGUUGGGAGCGAAAAUAACCAUUAUAGUCAAAAUAUGUCAUAUAACGAAUA